AACGAACGCUGGCGGCAGGCCUAACACAUGCAAGUCGAGCGGACCCUUCGGGGUUAGCGGCGGACGGGUGAGUAACGCGUGGGAAUAUGCCCUUCUCUACGGAAUAGUCCUGGGAAACUGGGGGUAAUACCGUAUACGCCCUUUAGGGGAAAGAUUUAUCGGGGAAGGAUUAGCCCGCGUUGGAUUAGGUAGUUGGUGGGGUAAUGGCCUACCAAGCCGACGAUCCAUAGCUGGUUUGAGAGGAUGAUCAGCCACACUGGGACUGAGACACGGCCCAGACUCCUACGGGAGGCAGCAGUGGGGAAUCUUAGACAAUGGGGGCAACCCUGAUCUAGCCAUGCCGCGUGAGUGAUGAAGGCCUUAGGGUUGUAAAGCUCUUUCAGCUGGGAAGAUAAUGACGGUACCAGCAGAAGAAGCCCCGGCUAACUCCGUG
RNAcentral lists this ribosomal RNA (433 nucleotides) under uncultured bacterium. RNAcentral describes it as "partial 16S ribosomal RNA". It matches the Rfam family "Bacterial small subunit ribosomal RNA", at positions 29 to 507 of the family's 1533-position model. The record is from RNAcentral.